Non-coding RNA from Peromyscus maniculatus bairdii (prairie deer mouse), 1594 nucleotides. The record is from RefSeq and is a predicted model, not a curated record. NCBI's taxonomy places the organism in Eukaryota, Metazoa, Chordata, Mammalia, Rodentia, Cricetidae.
CUGAGGCGGAGAGACACUACAGCCGCCGCCAUGACCAGCAGCAUGUGAAGACGCCGGGUUCCUGGAUCUCCCCUGGGAGAGACCCGAAGGAGACCUCGAAUUUAGACUCUCUCUCCGCAUGUCUGGCUGUGUGUCUCUCACCGACUCCCAUGUGCUGCUUGGGCUCUGAUGAAGACAGAAUAUCAAAGGUUCAGUGUGUGGUCACUCGGCUUCAUGAACUUGGGCAGAACUACAUGGGUAGAGGAGUAUGUGACGAAGACUGCUCACCUCCAGACAGAGAGAAAAAAGGAGCUAGGGACAAGAUGCCUCCAAUGACACCUCCUCCAAGUUGGCCCCUGGUACUAAAGGUCUCAGAGUGUCCCCAAAACAGCACCACAAGAUGGGGAUGCAAGCACUAACACACAAGCCGAAGAGGUAGCCCUUUCACUGUCCAAAUGGUCAAGCUUCAGCCAGAGAAGAAGGAACUCUCUCCACAAAGGGAACUUAGCAUGGAGAACUGGUUUCACGAAUAGUAAAAACUGAACUCGCAGAAAGAAUAACACACAGGCAGGCCAAGAGCUGUAACCAUAGGAAGCAAUUCCUCCUCCUGCCUGGGCUGAAGAAACAAAGGGAAGCGGCAGUCCAAGUUGUCUGAAGCCAGCAGCUCAGAGAUGAGGUGCGGUGACAUACGUGUAAUCCCAGUCAGCCUAACCUCUUUGCAAAGCUUGGACCAGUGAGAAAUCAUGUCUCAGAGGAGAGGAUGACACAAAACUCCAGAAACAGGUAGCAGAAGCAGCAGCAGCAAUGUCCUUGCCUCAGGACCAAGAUCUGAAAAGUGCAUGCCAGUUCCUCGAGCAUCGCUGAUGGUUAGCUGUUCUAAAAUGUGCAGGAUGGAAUAUCAAGGAAGUUGAGUUCACGAAGCUUCCAAAGGACAGAUCCUCAAAGCAUGGCAGAAUAACAAACCUUUUCCCUAGCUGGUUCUGGAUGACAAAAGAACUUGCCGGCAAAUGCUGUGUAAGCCAGGACUGAUGGAUGAAGAUAGACUUAACAUGGGAUAGGCUUGCUUUCGGGACCACAUUCCUGCAAUGGCAAAGAAAAGUCCCCGCUGGGCAGAGAAAAGAAGAAAGGGGAGACGGAGACAGCUGUCCUGUAAGCCACUCAUCCUCCAGAAAAGAUGGAGCUGGUUGAAGCUGAGUUGGCUGCACUGUAAUACCUGACACCACUUCCUCCUGACUGCCACCAACAAUCCCGAGGCCUUUCCACCCGCGACGGCUGACAUCGGCCACAAACUAAGGGCAUGGUGGGAUUGUUCUUCCCUUCCCCAUUACCUUCCCCUGGUACAAAAACCUGGCUAGAAAGUGACAUUAUGUCACCAUGCUCUCCGAGCCUGCUGUUGUGUCCUCUAAAUCCAGUCCAUCAUGCCAAGGAUUGCUUCCAAAGUUCUCUAUGGCCAUGGACUUGAAGCACAUUAAUUCCAUUAGCAGGCUAUUUCAGGAAAUAGCAAGCAUAUUUCUUGGAAACAAAUAUAUGUGGUUUAAAAAAAAACAGACACACACACACACACACACACACACACACACACACACACACACACACACACACACACACCCUCAAG